GCUUGUUUGAUCUGCUGUCUGCCUGAUAUUGCUUUGUGUUCUGAGAGGCGUUCGCUGCACUCACUUGAUGACUGUGUGUACAGCAGGCAUCGGAUCAGACUUUUAACCUGGGGGAGAGAAGCAAAGCAGAAUUCUGUGCUUUCCAUAAGAGAAGCAAAAACUAUGGAAUGGGAAAGUGGAAAACAAAUGCAUAGAGACAGAAUGUAAAUACACUCAAUCUUUUAAAAUCAAUUUGUUGUCUCUUUGGCUACAAAACUUCUCGUCCAGACAAACCUGCAGGCUUUUAUACCGACCAUCUCUCCAUCAGCAGCAGUGAAGACCUCUAAGCAGGCACGGAUUGAUGUGGAAGACCCUGACUUUCCACACCUGUGAGCCUUUUACCAGCUACGCUUUCAGCUGCAGCAGCUUCCAGAACGAAAAUACCAGGUUACUGCCAACUCUGGCUAGCUGUCAUUCCCAUCUGCCUUCCUGAAGCCAGUGGGAAGCACAGCUGAUGUCUGCCAUGGAAUCGCUUCCAGCUGGGAACUGUGCUGGAUCCUGGGCCCAGCAGUGCUGGGAGGAUGUGCCAGAACAUCAGCCUAUAACACUGAGAUACCAGGCAGCUCUGGGUUAUUCGCAGUGACUGAUAAGGCGAAGGCUCUUCCCAUUCCUGCUCUUUAAAGGCAGAUGGACCUGUUUACUGCUGUUGUGAAUGGCUGGAUAAGAGCUUGUUUUGAAUUGGAGGUAAAGAAGCAAAACCAAUUUCUGUUCCCGGUGCUUACCCAUUGCAACUCCUGAGUUCAUUUUCCUGUUUUCCCAAAAUAUAAAACAAAGGUUCUCUCAAUAAUUUCAGCUCUUCAUAGGCAGUUGUUGCUUCAAACAUAUCCUCAAUUCAAAAUGUUGGUAUUGAUAAGCAAAACAGAGUACAAAACAUACAGAACUGCAGUAUAGGUCAAAUACAACAUUAACCAAAGUAUUCUCACACAGCUUCCUUGGCUUUUCUUUCACCCAAGAAAUGGAGAUGAUUCACCAGAAUCAAAGCAAUGAAUACCUUAUGGAGGAUGUGUGUUAGGAAAUAGAUAAACCACACUAACUGGUUAACGCACUGAGACCUUGUUUACUUCUAGUCUGAACUCCAGCAUCUCCCCAAGGACUAAAUGAACAUAAAAACUGACUUUGUAGCACUCAUUCCGAGGUCAUAAUGACAGAAGGAGUGUGUGAGUUGGAAUUUCCCAUUACCAAUACAGACAGAGAAAAGUAACUAUUCAUUAAGAAUUAGUAUUUCCAGUGCUCUGGAAGCAUUUCUUUUCCGCUUUGGUUUGCCUUCUCGUGAAUAAGCCUUACAUAUUGCUGAAGGAGAGGCUCUGAUUUAUGUCAAAUACAAGUUUAUCCAUAGCAAGGGCUGUAUGUCAAAGCCGUUUUAACAAUAAAACAAUAUUGACAAAAGCAGGCUGCUCUGGGAGUUGGGACUGCCCAGGUCUGGCCAGUUGAGCUGACUAUUUGAAAAGGCUGCCUGCCUUCUCCCUCACCCCACUGAUAACAUCAGCUAACAAAUACAAUGAGAUCUUGGUUUCAAAGCCAUAAUCACUGGCUGGUGCUAAAAUAUUUUGUUUCUUUUAAGUACUGGUCUUAAAGACCAGGAUAUUAGCUACUUUCAUUUACAAGGAAGCUUGAAAGGAUGCCAGCACAAUAUCUGACCGGGCUUUCAGGAUGCAACUGCAUCUGCAUCCUUGCUCUGGCCAUGGACAGGAUGUAGUGUGAUUGAAAUUAAAACCUCAGAACACAGAACCCAUAUCCAUCACCACAGGAACAAAAAGCCAGCAAGUCGAUGGUUCUUUUUGUAAGAAAUCAUCCUUUUGUUUACCGUAUCUGUUAAAUUAUUUAGGAAACCUCUGUAUAAUUUAUUUCUUUCAACAAGAUACCUCCAUGUCUUGACAUCGUUAUCUUUCUCAAAUCAACCUGUUCUCAAAGCUAAAAUGUGAGCACAAGUAGCUUUAAGUGGGAGAAUGAGGAUUUACUGUAACUUUAUUAAAGAAAGCUUUUGAUAGCAUUGAAAAGUUAAUUGCGUAGCAGCAGCAAUCUCUCAGCUGCUCCUCUUCCAAAGGAGCAUUUCCAGAUCCUGAACACUAUUAGUGUACAUUACUUUUUAAAAUCUGGAACUCUCAGGACCUCAGAGUCCUUUGUGAUGGACAACAGAGUGAAGAAACUUCCCCAAUAGCUGGCAUUAAUGUUCAAGCAUUGGAUCACGCUGCUCACUGAUCCUGUCCCACUCCCCAACUCAGUUGAAUGCAGUUUCUCUCCUUCCCUGAUUUCAUCACAGAGAACCACACAUUGAGUUGAAUGCAUUCCACAUUACCUCCUGCUAAAGAUGGCAAUGCAUUCUGCAUGGUGAGACUGGUUCAACCCAGGGCCAACAAGCAGAGCAGUUUCCAACUCAGCCUCAGCUUACCUAGGAUGAAAACAAAUCCCCACUGAACUACAGGGCAGCAGCAACAGUCACAAGGAACUACAGCCACAGAUCAGUGAAGUUGCACACACUGACUCCAAAAAAGUUAAUUAAGCCAUGCAGCAAUUUACAGUUAAAUACACACAAUUUUAAAGCUGUGCUUUCUUUGUCGGAGAACUUUAAACCUCCCAUUCUCAUUGGUUACUGAUAUUUGCUCAUUACAUGCAAAGCUUGGACAAAUUAUGGAAUAACAGAAUGGACUCAUUCAAGAGAACGGUUUUGAGCCCUAAAUUUGCACCUCUCUCUUCUCAAGCUGCCACCAAAACUUCCUUGCUCUGAACUGCAGCUUCCCCUCUGCUGUGAGCACAGCUAAAGGAAGGAAGGGAAGGCAGCAGCCUUCUCUGGUGAUGGGUUGCUCCAGCCAGCCAUUGAAAAUCCUGUAAGGCACAGGUUACACAGCAUCCCUCUCCCACUCGCUGGCACUCUCAGACCUCUCAUUUAUGAAGUUAAUUUAGUGAGGUUAAACGAUGCAGUGCAUUCGACUGCAUUUUCUCACCUCCAGUUCCAGCCCUGUCAGGCGUUCCAGGUAAGAAAAGAAACACUUUGCCACCUUGUUUUCAUACCCGCUACAAAAGAGAUUGCAUUACCCUCCCUCCCCCCUCCAAACCCCAAUUACUGGGCUGUGGAAAGAACUCCAAUUAAGCGGUUAGCCAUAAUAGCAUGGCAGCCCUUUAGGAAACUGCUUAUCUAAAUAGAGAUGUACAGAAGGCAGUUUUCUCUCUAAUAGUGAUGCAUUUUCAAUUUAUGCAAUACAAAGUGCAUUGGUCUGCAGUGUCCCUGGCUACUGAUGAUUAAUAGCCCAUACACUGCAAGGGUCUACAAAGAAAAGUGCCAAGGGAAGCAGAUGCAGCGGGUUUUAUAUUAUCAUGACUGCAACAAACUCAUUCAGUGGUGUCAGCUCUGACUGCAGGAUUCUGAUUAUGAAAUAUGAUGCGUGUUGAAUUUAAUGGCUUUCUCUGCCCUUCUGGUGAGUUCACUGCUUUCCAAUGUCAUUUUGUGUUCUCAUCUGAGUGGUAAUAAAAGGAAUAUCAUUGACUGUGCUAGCUCUGUAACCACUGUGUGUUUUACAAUAAAUUGUGUUUCAGGACCUUUCUACCCAGGAGAGUGUGCAGGGCCAGAAAGUAAUAUUCCCCAGUUUUCCAAUAUGAAUAUGUUCUGUGAGAGGACAGGAAAUUAUGCAGGGCUGCCCUUCUCUUGAGGCGCUCCUUGUGUGAGCAGGACAUCUCUUUUUCAAUUGGUUACAGAGUAAACAGGUCGGUUUGGAUUGCAAAUAAUAACAAUUAAAAACAAAGGACUAUCAAAAUAAACAGCUGCUGCUACAGAGCACAAAUUAUGAUAUCUAGCUGGUGGUUCAAAUAAAGCUGCAGUACAAACCCUGGGCACACAUGGUGAUAGUCAUGUAACCACGUGAAGUCACUGGGGAUUCUGCCAGUCUCAGCAUUAAGGAGUGCAUGCAGACAGGACAUCGCUGCAUUCCAACCAGCACUGCCCCAGGAGGAACUGUGCUGUUCUGUGCUGAACAGGCAGGAGCUCAGAUCAAACCAAGACAUCCUGCAUUACCUGAAAGAAUUCCAGAGUGCUCGCCCUGGUUGUUCACAUGCAUCUGCUGGCACCUCAGGGGCUC
Long non-coding RNA from Meleagris gallopavo (turkey), 4109 nucleotides. RefSeq lists it as uncharacterized. The record is from RefSeq and is a predicted model, not a curated record. Lineage: Eukaryota; Metazoa; Chordata; Aves; Galliformes; Phasianidae.